AUUGAACGCUGGCGGCAUGCCUUACACAUGCAAGUCGAACGGCAGCACGGGUGCUUGCACCUGGUGGCGAUUGGCGAACGGGUGAGUAAUACAUCGGAACAUGUCCUGUAGUGGGGGAUAGCCCGGCGAAAGCCGGAUUAAUACCGCAUACGAUCUACUGAUGAAAGCGGGGGACCUUCGGGCCUCGCGCUAUAGGGUUGGCCGAUGGCUGAUUAGCUAGUUGGUGGGGUAAAGGCCUACCAAGGCGACGAUCAGUAGCUGGUCUGAGAGGACGACCAGCCACACUGGGACUGAGACACGGCCCAGACUCCUACGGGAGGCAGCAGUGGGGAAUUUUGGACAAUGGGCGAAAGCCUGAUCCAGCAAUGCCGCGUGUGUGAAGAAGGCCUUCGGGUUGUAAAGCACUUUUGUCCGGAAAGAAAUCCUUGGCCCUAAUACGGUCGGGGGAUGACGGUACCGGAAGAAUAAGCACCGGCUAACUACGUG
This 486-nucleotide ribosomal RNA is filed under the name uncultured bacterium. RNAcentral's name for it is "partial 16S ribosomal RNA". It matches the Rfam family "Bacterial small subunit ribosomal RNA", at positions 30 to 507 of the family's 1533-position model. The record is from RNAcentral.